Solanum lycopersicum (tomato) is the source of this 1130-nucleotide long non-coding RNA. RefSeq lists it as uncharacterized. NCBI's taxonomy places the organism in Eukaryota, Viridiplantae, Streptophyta, Magnoliopsida, Solanales, Solanaceae. The record is from RefSeq and is a predicted model, not a curated record.
UCUCACUCCAAGGACACGAGAAUCAUCCCAGCCGUCUGUCGCCCUUUCCUCUUCCCGAAAGGGUCCAAAUUUCAGAAAAAAGGGUGUUUCCCUUUAACAGUGAACUUUUUCGAAUUUGAAUCGAGGAUGAGCCCUUGAAUUCGGGGAAUCCAUCCUCCCCCCUCCCCCUCAAAUAUUCUAGACCAUAAUUUCCCCUAUGUAUAACAUCUUUUUUUCACUGUGAGGGAGGGAGGAAAUUUUUGAAAAACAAAAGGGAGUUACUAGAUAUUGUCGAGUUUGGAGAUUUUAGUGGAGAAAAUUGUUAAAGGUUUUAGUUUGAAGUUGGAUUCUUAGGAAAAGAAAAUACUUAUAAAGUUUCAGUGAGAUAGCCUAAGAUAAGUAAAACAGGUUUUCAAAGAAAACGGAGGAAGAACUCUUUAAUUUAGGUGUUGAGUUCGAUAUUUUGCUUAAGUUCUCAACUGCUGCUCGUGUUUAGGUUCUUGUGGUGGUCGUCCCCUGUCCGUUUGUCUCAAAACGCUUUGCGAAAAAAGUUUGAAGUGCACGGAGAAUGUGUUUACGCAUUUAGUACAUUCAAAAGAUCUAUUUUCUUCUCUGUUUUGAGCUUGUCAGGUAUUUGACAUAUGUUUGUAAUCGAUUUGCUUGCCGGUUUCUGGUUUAUGUGUGUUAAGCAGUGAUUCUCUUUUGAUGAAUUUGUUAUUUUAGGACUGAUUGAUCAUAGUUAAGCUAUGAUUUGGAAAUAACAUUAUUUGAGUACUAACUUUUAUCGUUAUUUUUUAUUGUUGCAUCUGAAAUCAACUCGGGUUCAUCGUGAACCCCUACUUCCUUCUGCGUCAUUCAAGAGAGCCUUCAAAGCUCAAUUCCUUUCGAGUCAAACUCAUAAAAUUAACGUACAGGUCCCAAGUUGAAAGGAUUCAAACAGAUUAAGAAGUUGAAGAAAUUGGACAAAAGAGUCCAACUUUAUUUUUUUUCAGAGCGUUGUAUUUUGUUAUCGUUGGGCCUAAGCCCUUGUUGUCUUUUCUUUUCCGUAUUCAUUAUUUACAGAUUGUCUAAUUAGUCUAGGAUAGGUACAAAAUGAAAUGGGUCGAAAUACCGGUCUAGAUAGACAGAAAGUGGAUUUGGACCCAACUCUC